CAAAAUGACUCUCGGCAACGGAUAUCUCGGCUCUCGCAUCGAUGAAGAACGUAGCAAAAUGCGAUACUUGGUGUGAAUUGCAGAAUCCCGUGAACCAUCGAGUCUUUGAACGCAAGUUGCGCCCAAAGCCUUUUGGUUGAGGGCACGUCUGCCUGGG
RNAcentral lists this ribosomal RNA (157 nucleotides) under Clusia sp. JA 3854. Its description in RNAcentral is "5.8S ribosomal RNA". It matches the Rfam family "5.8S ribosomal RNA". Rfam says of the family: 5.8S ribosomal RNA (5.8S rRNA) is a component of the large subunit of the eukaryotic ribosome. It is transcribed by RNA polymerase I as part of the 45S precursor that also contains 18S and 28S rRNA. The record is from RNAcentral. Lineage: Eukaryota; Viridiplantae; Streptophyta; Magnoliopsida; Malpighiales; Clusiaceae.